CCUACGGGAGGCAGCAGUGAGGAAUAUUGGUCAAUGGGCGUAAGCCUGAACCAGCCAAGUCGCGUGAGGGAUGAAGGUUCUAUGGAUCGUAAACCUCUUUUAUGAGGGAAUAAAGUGUGGGACGUGUCCUAUUUUGUAUGUACCUUAUGAAUAAGGAUCGGCUAACUCCGUGCCAGCAGCCGCGGUAAUACGGAGGAUCCGAGCGUUAUCCGGAUUUAUUGGGUUUAAAGGGUGCGUAGGCGGCCUUUUACGUCAGCGGUGAAAGUCGGUGGCUCAACCAUAGAAUUGCCGUUGAAACUGGGGGGCUUGAGUAUGUGUGAGGCAGGCGGAAUGCGUGGUGUAGCGGUGAAAUGCGUAGAUAUCACGAAGAACACCGAUGGCGAAGGCAGCCUGCCAAGCCAUGACUGACGCUGAUGCACGAAAGCGUGGGGAUCAAACAGGAUUAGAUACCCCUGUAGUC
Molecule: ribosomal RNA, 460 nt
Filed under: uncultured bacterium
Lineage: Bacteria
Description: partial 16S ribosomal RNA
Rfam family: Bacterial small subunit ribosomal RNA
Source: RNAcentral